UAGAUACCCUGGUAGUCCACGCCGUAAACGAUGGAUACUGGGUGUGGGCGGAGUCGAAUCUGUCUGUGCCGAAGUUAACGCGUUAAGUAUCCCGCCUGGGGAGUACGGCCGCAAGGCUAAAACUCAAAAGAAUUGACGGGGGCCCGCACAAGCAGCGGAGCAUGUUCUUUAAUUCGAUGCAACGCGAAGAACCUUACCUGGACUUGACAUGGAGCUGCAAGCGCACGGAAACGUGUGACCUUCGAGGGUG
RNAcentral lists this ribosomal RNA (250 nucleotides) under uncultured bacterium. Its description in RNAcentral is "partial 16S ribosomal RNA". It matches the Rfam family "Bacterial small subunit ribosomal RNA", at positions 779 to 1027 of the family's 1533-position model. The record is from RNAcentral.